This 273-nucleotide ribosomal RNA is filed under the name uncultured bacterium. RNAcentral's name for it is "partial 16S ribosomal RNA". It matches the Rfam family "Bacterial small subunit ribosomal RNA", at positions 524 to 796 of the family's 1533-position model. The record is from RNAcentral.
UACGGGGGGGGCAAGCGUUGUUCGGAAUUACUAGGCGUAAAGGGCUCGUAGGCUGCCAACUAAGUCAGACGUGAAAUCCCCAGGCUCAACCUGGGAACUGCGUCUGAUACUGGAUGGCUUGAAUUCGGGAGAGGGAUGCAGAAUUCCAGGUGUAGCGGUGAAAUGCGUAGAUAUCUGGAGGAAUACCGGUGGCGAAGGCGGCAUCCUGGACCGACAUUGACGCUGAGGAGCGAAAGCUAGGGGAGCAAACGGGAUUAGAAACCCGCGUAGUCC